GACGAACGCUGGCGGCGUGCUUAACACAUGCAAGUCGAACGGAAAGGCCCUGCUUUUGUGGGGUGCUCGAGUGGCGAACGGGUGAGUAACACGUGAGUAACCUGCCCUUGACUUUGGGAUAACUUCAGGAAACUGGGGCUAAUACCGGAUAGGAGCUCCUGCUGCAUGGUGGGGGUUGGAAAGUUUCGGCGGUUGGGGAUGGACUCGCGGCUUAUCAGCUUGUUGGUGGGGUAGUGGCUUACCAAGGCUUUGACGGGUAGCCGGCCUGAGAGGGUGACCGGCCACAUUGGGACUGAGAUACGGCACAGACUCCUACGGGAGGCAGCAGUGGGGAAUAUUGCACAAUGGGCGGAAGCCUGAUGCAGCAACGCCGCGUGCGGGAUGACGGCCUUCGGGUUGUAAACCGCUUUCGCCUGUGACGAAGCGUGAGUGACGGUAAUGGGUAAAGAAGCACCGGCUAACUACGUG
RNAcentral lists this ribosomal RNA (468 nucleotides) under uncultured bacterium. Its description in RNAcentral is "partial 16S ribosomal RNA". It matches the Rfam family "Bacterial small subunit ribosomal RNA", at positions 28 to 507 of the family's 1533-position model. The record is from RNAcentral.